UUUUAAAUUAGAAGUGGUACAGGAUUUUUUUCUUCUUUCUUUAAAAAAAAGUGACAAAAAUCCCAGUGACUUUUGGGGGAGAGAUAUGAAUAGAUACGAUGAUUGAGUUUUUUCAAAGGAGUCCAUGUUUGAUUCUCCCCUUUGCCCAGCCUUUUCGGUGAUUUGUAAUUGUUGUAAAUUUUAUCGUCACUGUUUCCCCCUUUUCCUCGCCUUUCCCUCCCCCCAUUGCUCAGUUGUAAAAUUCAUCUGACUUGAGAAAUUAAUUUGGGGAAAAUGGAACGAAUUUUUACAAUAAAGGGGAAAGAGUCAAGUCUGAAGAUUGUGAAAUGGUUUUCUGUUCUCUCCCAUUUCAGCGAUUCCCUUCCUGCAUGAUCUCCAACACUGAUAAAGUAGAAGCAGCAGGUACGGUGGAAGAGAAAAGUGACUGAGACUGAGAGAAAGAAAGAGCUCUUUGACAGGAGAACGUGGCAGCCGAGUAAGUGAGUGGAUGUGAUGUGGUAGAGCUGGGAGCACUAGGGAGGCUCCGCCGUGAAGACUGAAACAAAGAGAAAAAGGCAAGGCACUGCCUUUUCUUCUGUCAUCUUUUCUUCAUUCCUGCCUACAUUCCUGCAGCCAAAAAGUUGGUAACCAUGAGGACAACAAUGAGGAGACGGGAGAAACCUGGUACACUGAUGACCUAGCAGAUUCACUAUUGCACUAGCUCCAUACCUCUUAUUAUGUGAAUAAAAUUAACACCUUGUAGGGUUAGGCUUCUGCUACAAA
Molecule: non-coding RNA, 762 nt
Organism: Oryctolagus cuniculus (rabbit)
Lineage: Eukaryota; Metazoa; Chordata; Mammalia; Lagomorpha; Leporidae
Source: RefSeq, a predicted model, not a curated record